GCACCCGCCUGUACUUCCCCUGAGAUCAGCUGUUAGCAUCUGCUAGGAAUCAAGCCUCAGCUCACCUCACCAGAGAGAAAACUGUACUAACACUUGACUACUGACUACUGAAUUUGAAUCAAAUCUCUUGCUGAAUCAAAUGUGAUGAGAAAGACAGGCAGGGCGGCACAAACAUAAAUGGGUCAAAGACAUUUACAUUUACUCCGCAUCAAAAUAAAUUUUACAAAAGUGAUUUUAUAUACAUAGAAAGCACAUUAAAUGCAAAUAAAGUGUCUACUUUUAAACUUUCAAAUAAGUUUUGGAAGAAUAAAAUGUCAAAAGGUGGGUGAAAUAAUGUUCCAUUGUGUAAUGUUCUGAACUGUACGCAUUAAAAAUAUAUAAAAGAAUUAAGUGAACAUACUAAAUUCAACUGCGUUUUAAAGGAGUAAACAACGGCCAAAACAGUGGCAAAGUUUAAAAAUGUAAAAUUACAAGUAUUAUUUGGGGUAAACUAAUAGUCUUUUAAUAUCUCUCAUACUGAUUCUUGUGGUAAAUAUGCCUGACAAGAUUGUUACACUGAAUGACAUUUUAGUGGCUGUUUUCUGUAAAUCAUGGUAAAAAAAGUAUAUUUAUUUUUUGCUCAGAAAAAAAUAAAAAGAAUUAAACAGGACACUUUCUAAUGUACUGAAAAACAACAACAACGAUUCAAAGCUGUAUGACACUCAUUGUUUUGAUGCUUGACGAUGCUUUUCGUCUUUGACCCAAAUACAGCUCCUGGGGCCAGCAGUGCAGUCCAUCUGACCAGUGAAGGACUGGUGUGAGCAGAUUCUUUUUAAUCCAUCUUAAAAGCCAAAAAACAAGCUUUGAACUCAUGAUGAAUUCAUCUGAAUCGAUCUAAGGACUCAAUCUGUCAUUCUUGACUUACUUCCAUCAUCAUCUAUGAUGGCUUUAGGGUUUCAGUCCUGAAGCUUUAUUUUUUGGGCAGCAGAUGUUCUCCAUGCAGCGUGGGGCCGCACACAUCCAGGAGAAACAUCUCCUCAAAACAAACUUCGAUUGAUGGAUCGGCAGUAAUGGGGUCUCUGAUAUUCUCACGCCACUUUCCCAGCAGCGCAGAUGCAAAACUCAAUUCAUUUACAUGCUGUUUUUAACUAUACCACUUACCACAGAGCAGCAUUACAAAGCAGAUUUGGGCUGAAAUCCCUUUUGGGAACAAAAACAAGGCAACGACGGCAGAGAAAAACUCCCCGAAAGUAAGAAAGAAAGCUCAGGAGGAAGCAGGGCUCCAAGGGAAAGCCGCUGCCCUGCGUUUGGCAAGAAACAUCAUUAUGUCAUUGGAAAACACGAAGCAUUCUAGCUGUAAUGCGUUUCGCAACUACAGCAUGUGGAGCUGAUUUAAGGUACUUAAAUACACCUCAUCAAGGUUUGGCUCAGGUAUAAGCUACUUAUGUCACAGACGGGAACAGAGCGACCUCUUUACUCAACCUCCGCCUCUCUCCGCUCACGGCUGAGGCGACAGAUGUGAAAACUGCAUCUCCAAAAAUCCACAUUCCUCUUUCCUCGGACCUGAUGUCCUUGCCAAAUGUCCUCCGUCUCGGCACAAAGACAGUUCUCUAUCGUGCCAAUUUCCAAACCCAGUGGAAAUGCUUUUGCUGACUCAGCAGAACAAGGGAUGUGCCAGAUAAAACACUGCAGCAGGUUAUUCUGCCCCGCAGGAUGGAUGUGUCUCUGGAACUAAACUGUUUUAUUAGUUCAUGUUCUCUAUAUCUUAUACUGCUUUACCAACCCCUCACCAUUAACCACCUCAAAUCUGAGGGAAACGUCACAUCCUGAAAGAUGCUGUUCAAGCCCUUAAGUCCAUCCCUAAAAUCUGACAAACAGAAAUGUUUUUCCAGGACUAAGAAGGAGUUAGAAGCCACCGUGCAGGUUUCUCUUUGUGAGGUUUGGUCAGCAGUGACUGAAACGCAGCUUUACACACGACUGCAGUCUGCAUGGAGAGGAUCUUCAGACUCCAGGAGCUUCAAACACCUGGUUGCUGCUCAGCAGUGGCUUUUUUUCAGCUGCUAUUACAAUACAGUUCAUUUGUUUGACAAAAACUUUCCUUAAUAAAUCUUUAUCUGACCAAGA
This is a long non-coding RNA of Onychostoma macrolepis, 2103 nucleotides long. RefSeq lists it as uncharacterized. The transcript has 2 exons. NCBI's taxonomy places the organism in Eukaryota, Metazoa, Chordata, Actinopteri, Cypriniformes, Cyprinidae. The record is from RefSeq and is a predicted model, not a curated record.